Molecule: transfer RNA, 66 nt
Filed under: Bombus asiaticus
Lineage: Eukaryota; Metazoa; Arthropoda; Insecta; Hymenoptera; Apidae
Description: tRNA-Pro
Source: RNAcentral
CAAAAAAUAGUUUAAUUAAAAUAAUAAUUUUGGGAAUUAUUGAUAUUUUGAAAAAAAUUUUUUUGA